Molecule: ribosomal RNA, 253 nt
Filed under: uncultured bacterium
Lineage: Bacteria
Description: partial 16S ribosomal RNA
Rfam family: Bacterial small subunit ribosomal RNA
Source: RNAcentral
UACGUAGGGUGCGAGCGUUAAUCGGAAUUACUGGGCGUAAAGCGUGCGCAGGCGGUUUUGUAAGCCAGAUGUGAAAUCCCCGGGCUUAACCUGGGAAUGGCAUUUGGGACUGCAAGGCUCGAGUGCGGCAGAGGAGACUGGAAUUCCUGGUGUAGCAGUGAAAUGCGUAGAUAUCAGGAGGAACACCGGUGGCGAAGGCGGGACUCUGGGCCGAUACUGACGCUGAGGAGCGAAAGCGUGGGGAGCAAACAGG